CAGAGCCGCGGUAAUACGUAGGGCGCAAGCGUUAUCCGGAAUUAUUGGGCGUAAAGAGCUCGUAGGCGGUUUGUCGCGUCUGCCGUGAAAGUCCGGGGCUCAACCCCGGAUCUGCGGUGGGUACGGGCAGACUAGAGUGAUGUAGGGGAGACUGGAAUUCCUGGUGUAGCGGUGAAAUGCGCAGAUAUCAGGAGGAACACCGAUGGCGAAGGCAGGUCUCUGGGCAUUAACUGACGCUGAGGAGCGAAAGCAUGGGGAGCGAACAGGAUUAGAUACCCCUGUAGUCCCUGUCUCUUAUACA
RNAcentral lists this ribosomal RNA (301 nucleotides) under uncultured bacterium. RNAcentral describes it as "partial 16S ribosomal RNA". It matches the Rfam family "Bacterial small subunit ribosomal RNA", at positions 509 to 808 of the family's 1533-position model. The record is from RNAcentral.